AACCUUAUGGACCUGCGGGCGUAUACCUGCGGAGGGAUCAUUACUGUAGGGACCUCGGUCCUUCCAAGAUGCAACCCUUGCCUUUUUUUUCAGCGUCUCUCCGUUUCCUCGGCAGCUCCGCCUGCCAGCGAGGACCCCUUGAAAACCUCUUGCAAUCCCGUAAAAACUUCUGAAAAUACGCAAAAACUUCAAAACUUUUAACAAUGGAUCU
RNAcentral lists this unclassified non-coding RNA (211 nucleotides) under soil metagenome. RNAcentral describes it as "partial contains 5.8S ribosomal RNA, internal transcribed spacer 2, and large subunit ribosomal RNA". The record is from RNAcentral.